This 805-nucleotide ribosomal RNA is filed under the name Salmonella enterica subsp. enterica serovar Kentucky. Its description in RNAcentral is "partial 23S ribosomal RNA". It matches the Rfam family "Bacterial large subunit ribosomal RNA", at positions 593 to 1397 of the family's 2925-position model. Lineage: Bacteria; Pseudomonadati; Pseudomonadota; Gammaproteobacteria; Enterobacterales; Enterobacteriaceae. The record is from RNAcentral.
GUGACUGCGUACCUUUUGUAUAAUGGGUCAGCGACUUAUAUUCUGUAGCAAGGUUAACCGAAUAGGGGAGCCGGAGGGAAACCGAGUCUUAAUUGGGCGUUAAGUUGCAGGGUAUAGACCCGAAACCCGGUGAUCUAGCCAUGGGCAGGUUGAAGGUUGGGUAACACUAACUGGAGGACCGAACCGACUAAUGUUGAAAAAUUAGCGGAUGACCUGUGGCUGGGGGUGAAAGGCCAAUCAAACCGGGAGAUAGCUGGUUCUCCCCGAAAGCUAUUUAGGUAGCGCCUCGUGAAUUCAUCUCCGGGGGUAGAGCACUGUUUCGGCUAGGGGGCCAUCCCGGCUUACCAACCCGAUGCAAACUGCGAAUACCGGAGAAUGUUAUCACGGGAGACACACGGCGGGUGCUAACGUCCGUCGUGAAGAGGGAAACAACCCAGACCGCCAGCUAAGGUCCCAAAGUCAUGGUUAAGUGGGAAACGAUGUGGGAAGGCCCAGACAGCCAGGAUGUUGGCUUAGAAGCAGCCAUCAUUUAAAGAAAGCGUAAUAGCUCACUGGUCGAGUCGGCCUGCGCGGAAGAUGUAACGGGGCUAAACCAUGCACCGAAGCUGCGGCAGCGACGCUGAUGCGUUGUUGGGUAGGGGAGCGUUCUGUAAGCCUGUGAAGGUGGCCUGUGAGGGUUGCUGGAGGUAUCAGAAGUGCGAAUGCUGACAUAAGUAACGAUAAAGCGGGUGAAAAGCCCGCUCGCCGGAAGACCAAGGGUUCCUGUCCAACGUUAAUCGGGGCAGGGUGAGUCGACCCCUAAGGC